CUUUGUCACUGAUCUUAUCACAUCUUUAGCAUGGCUUUUUUGAACCCUGAAUAAAGCACAAAAGUUAGUUGUCAUGGUGAUUGAAUCAGAUAAUUUCACAGUCACAUUGUGAAAAUGACAAACACAGUUUAAUGAAAGUGAUAUGUUGUAAAGCCCUUGUCUUUCUUGAUAUGAUAGAUGGCUUUUGGAACAAGAGCUCAGGAAAUGGAGAGAGCCGCAUCCUGGAGGACACAUGUCUGAAGCUCUUUUAGGAAAAACGCCGCCUCAAAGAGACAUGAGACAGCAUGUGGAGGACAUUAGAAGGGAGUUAGAGUCUGUCAAAAAAGAAAACGGUACAUUGCGUACUGCACUUGAGGAAAAGUCAAGUCUAAGUUCCAGUUUGACGCUGUCACAUGAAGAUGAACAGGUACUCUACAUUUAAUCACUAAUUUU
This 432-nucleotide long non-coding RNA is filed under the name Sinocyclocheilus grahami. RNAcentral's name for it is "lncRNA (ENSSGRG00000005565.1)". The record is from RNAcentral. Lineage: Eukaryota; Metazoa; Chordata; Actinopteri; Cypriniformes; Cyprinidae.